GAUGAACGCUAGCGGGAGGCUUAACACAUGCAAGUCGAGGGGCAUCACGAGGUAGCAAUACUUUGGUGGCGACCGGCGCACGGGAGAGUAACACGUAUGCAACCUACCCUGUACAGGGGGAUAACCCGGAGAAACUCGGACUAAUAUCCCAUGAUGAUAUUGAGGGGCAUCCUUUAAUAUUUAAAGCUCAGGCGGUACGGGAUGGGCAUGCGGAACCUUAGCUAGUUGGCAGGGUAACGGACUACCAAGGCGAAGAUGUUUAGGGGACCUGAGACGGUUAUCCCCCACACUGGUACUGAGACACGGACCAGACUCCUACGGGAGGCAGCAGUGAGGAAUAUUGGUCAAUGGGCGCAAGCCUGAACCAGCCAUCCCGCGUGAAGGAAGAAGGCGCUAUGCGUUGUAAACUUCUUUUCCAGGGGGUGAAUAAUUCCGAUGUAUCGGGAGAUGACGGUACCCUGGGAAUAAGCAUCGGCUAACUCCGUGCCAGCAGCCGCGGUAA
This 502-nucleotide ribosomal RNA is filed under the name uncultured bacterium. Its description in RNAcentral is "partial 16S ribosomal RNA". It matches the Rfam family "Bacterial small subunit ribosomal RNA", at positions 28 to 523 of the family's 1533-position model. The record is from RNAcentral.